GUGCUCGCUCUGGCAGCACAUAUACUAAAAUACAAACAAUAAAGAGAAGAUUAGCAUGGCCCCUGCGCAAAGAAAACAUGCGAAUUCGUAAAGCGUUCCAUAAUAAA
Molecule: small nuclear RNA, 107 nt
Organism: Hyla sarda
Lineage: Eukaryota; Metazoa; Chordata; Amphibia; Anura; Hylidae
Source: RefSeq, a predicted model, not a curated record